GAGCACUCACUUGUGCUGCACAUAUACUAAAAUUGGAAAAACACAGAGAAUAUUAGCAUAUUCUGGGCAAAGGGUGACACACAAAUCUGUG
Molecule: small nuclear RNA, 91 nt
Filed under: Microtus ochrogaster (prairie vole)
Lineage: Eukaryota; Metazoa; Chordata; Mammalia; Rodentia; Cricetidae
Source: RNAcentral